Molecule: ribosomal RNA, 253 nt
Filed under: uncultured bacterium
Lineage: Bacteria
Description: partial 16S ribosomal RNA
Rfam family: Bacterial small subunit ribosomal RNA
Source: RNAcentral
UACAGAGGGGGCAAGCGUUAUUCGGAAUUAUUGGGCGUAAAGGGCGCGUAGGCGGCACUGUUAGUCAGGCGUGAAAGUCCUGGGCUCAACCUGGGAACUGCGCUUGAUACGGCAGAGCUAGAGGAUGGAAGAGGGUCGCGGAAUUCCCAGUGUAGAGGUGAAAUUCGUAGAUAUUGGGAAGAACACCGGUGGCGAAGGCGGCGACCUGGUCCAUUACUGACGCUGAGGCGCGACAGCGUGGGGAGCAAACAGG